AUUGAACGCUGGCGGCAGGCCUAACACAUGCAAGUCGAACGGUAACAGGAAGAAGCUUGCUUCUUUGCUGACGAGUGGCGGACGGGUGAGUAAUGUCUGGGAAACUGCCUGAUGGAGGGGGAUAACUACUGGAAACGGUAGCUAAUACCGCAUAACGUCGCAAGACCAAAGAGGGGGACCUUCGGGCCUCUUGCCAUCGGAUGUGCCCAGAUGGGAUUAGCUAGUAGGUGGGGUAACGGCUCACCUAGGCGACGAUCCCUAGCUGGUCUGAGAGGAUGACCAGCCACACUGGAACUGAGACACGGUCCAGACUCCUACGGGAGGCAGCAGUGGGGAAUAUUGCACAAUGGGCGAAAGCCUGAUGCAGCAAUGCCGCGUGUAUGAAGAAGGCCUUCGGGUUGUAAAGUACUUUCAGCGGGGAGGAAGGGAGUAAAGUUAAUACCUUUGCUCAUUGACGUUACCCGCAGAAGAAGCACCGGCUAACUCCGUG
This 490-nucleotide ribosomal RNA is filed under the name uncultured bacterium. RNAcentral describes it as "partial 16S ribosomal RNA". It matches the Rfam family "Bacterial small subunit ribosomal RNA", at positions 30 to 507 of the family's 1533-position model. The record is from RNAcentral.